GUAGUUCAGCAGUAAAAUAUCUGCUUUGCAUUCAGAAGGUGUCGGGUUCAAUCCCCACGCCCU
RNAcentral lists this transfer RNA (63 nucleotides) under Sphaerodactylus townsendi. RNAcentral describes it as "tRNA-Ala". Lineage: Eukaryota; Metazoa; Chordata; Lepidosauria; Squamata; Sphaerodactylidae. The record is from RNAcentral.